CGGGGCGUAGCGCAGUUUGGUAGCGCACACGGCUGGGGGCCGUGUGGUCGCAGGUUCAAAUCCUGUCGCCCCG
The sequence is a transfer RNA, 73 nucleotides long. It matches the Rfam family "tRNA". Rfam says of the family: Transfer RNA (tRNA) molecules are approximately 80 nucleotides in length. Their secondary structure includes four short double-helical elements and three loops (D, anti-codon, and T loops).